GUACAAUAGCAAUAGACGCAUUUCCACAGCCUGCGCUGUUCCCGCAUACAGAACGAAGAGCAGAUACGAGGUGAACUGAGGGCCUGAGAGGAGCUGAGCCGAGUGCUUGCAGUGGCUCUUCAGUGUGAGGAAAAGAGGAAUAAUGCAGAUGCUGAUAGAGUCUGUUUUCACCAGGGAGCAUGCUCAGGAUUACAGGUCUCACACACACAGUGUUUGAGAGGAGGGGGGAGGAGUAAUAAACUGCACUUCAAAGCCACUCUGAUGAGGAAAGAGGUGAGAAAAAAAUCCCACCCCACAGAAAUGACUCUCGCUGCCUUUAUCCUGUAUCUAAAAAAAGGUAGAUGCAGGUUCUGCAGAGGACUUUUAAGUAGUGCAGACAAGUCUGUUGCUAUAAAUAGUGGCUGAGAGUCAAAGAAGCUGGUCCCAGAGAGGGACGAUUGGCGAAAGACGAGGAAAGCUCAAACUGGGACGCGCUUGAGCCACACAGUGACGAUCAAGCCUGGUUCGCUUACUGUACACUGUUAAAAUUAUAAGAUCUUUGAGAUACUUUUUGGGGUUCUUCCAUUUGGAAGUGUGGAGGAACCCCCUUAAGGUGCUUUGAGGAACCUUCAAGAAAAGGUUUUUAGAGAAAGCCUUUCUAAAAGGCUUAAAUUACCUUAAGGGUUUCCUCCCAAAUAUUCCACCCAAAUAAGAGUAUAGACUGUAGUUGGGUGCUGGUACAGUGUUUAGGUAACACAUAAACCAAGACUCAAAAAUUAUUGAUUUUUGCAGCACGGUAACAUAAACACUGUCUCUCUGAACCUGCCUCUGUCUCUGUUUCUCUUUUACUCAGGUUUUGAAGCAGCACAUGCUCUGUUUGUCUGGCAGACAGAGAAAAGCAGCUUUUAAAGAAGCCUGUGCAGUGGGUGAUCGAUACAGAGAGUGAACAGGCAAAGAAAUAUGUUUUUGAUGUUGUUUAUCUCUAGGUAUGAGAUAAGCCACUCUCCACUAUUAUUGUGGAAUCACCGAGCUUAUUGACAUCCUCAUAUCUUCUUUUUGCCAGAUCACCAACAACAAGGCAUUCAAAUUGUUGUAAGAUUUCAUAAGUGGAGUUAUGAAUAUAAAUUAAUUUUAGGAGAUUGACCCACACCCUUACUCCUCCCACUCUCCACCCUCUAUAAACC
Molecule: long non-coding RNA, 1163 nt
Filed under: Astyanax mexicanus (Mexican tetra)
Lineage: Eukaryota; Metazoa; Chordata; Actinopteri; Characiformes; Acestrorhamphidae
Description: lncRNA (ENSAMXG00005022571.1)
Source: RNAcentral